Molecule: ribosomal RNA, 1346 nt
Filed under: uncultured bacterium
Lineage: Bacteria
Description: partial 16S ribosomal RNA
Rfam family: Bacterial small subunit ribosomal RNA
Source: RNAcentral
GACGAACGCUGGCGGCGUGCUUAACACAUGCAAGUCGAACGGAAAGGCCCUGCUUUUGUGGGGUGCUCGAGUGGCGAACGGGUGAGUAACACGUGAGUAACCUGCCCUUGACUUUGGGAUAACUUCAGGAAACUGGGGCUAAUACCGGAUAGGAGCUCCUGCUGCAUGGUGGGGGUUGGAAAGUUUCGGCGGUUGGGGAUGGACUCGCGGCUUAUCAGCUUGUUGGUGGGGUAGUGGCUUACCAAGGCUUUGACGGGUAGCCGGCCUGAGAGGGUGACCGGCCACAUUGGGACUGAGAUACGGCCCAGACUCCUACGGGAGGCAGCAGUGGGGAAUAUUGCACAAUGGGCGGAAGCCUGAUGCAGCAACGCCGCGUGCGGGAUGACGGCCUUCGGGUUGUAACGCGCUUUCGCCUGUGACGAAGCGUGAGUGACGGUAAUGGGUAAAGAAGCACCGGCUAACUACGUGCCAGCAGCCGCGGUGAUACGUAGGGUGCGAGCGUUGUCCGGAUUUAUUGGGCGUAAAGGGCUCGUAGGUGGUUGAUCGCGUCGGAAGUGUAAUCUUGGGGCUUAACCCUGAGCGUGCUUUCGAUACGGGUUGACUUGAGGAAGGUAGGGGAGAAUGGAAUUCCUGGUGGAGCGGUGGAAUGCGCAGAUAUCAGGAGGAACACCAGUGGCGAAGGCGGUUCUCUGGGCCUUUCCUGACGCUGAGGAGCGAAAGCGUGGGGAGCGAACAGGCUUAGAUACCCUGGUAGUCCACGCUGUAAACGGUGGGUACUAGGUGUGGGGUCCAUUCCACGGGUUCCGUGCCGUAGCUAACGCUUUAAGUACCCCGCCUGGGGAGUACGGCCGCAAGGCUAAAACUCAAAGGAAUUGACGGGGCCCCGCACAAGCGGCGGAGCAUGCGGAUUAAUUCGAUGCAACGCGUAGAACCUUACCUGGGUUUGACAUGGAUCGGGAGUGCUCAGAGAUGGGUGUGCCUCUUUUGGGGUCGGUUCACAGGUGGUGCAUGGCUGUCGUCAGCUCGUGUCGUGAGAUGUUGGGUUAAGUCCCGCAACGAGCGCAACCCUUGUUCACUGUUGCCAGCACGUUAUGGUGGGGACUCAGUGGAGACCGCCGGGGUCAACUCGGAGGAAGGUGGGGAUGACGUCAAGUCAUCAUGCCCCUUAUGUCCAGGGCUUCACGCAUGCUACAAUGGCUGGUACAGAGAGUGGCGAGCCUGUGAGGGUGAGCGAAUCUCGGAAAGCCGGUCUCAGUUCGGAUUGGGGUCUGCAACUCGACCUCAUGAAGUCGGAGUCGCUAGUAAUCGCAGAUCAGCAACGCUGCGGUGAAUACGUUCCCGGGGCU